AAGGGAAGGCAGGAGAAAGGCUGCCUUCAUAUGGCAGAAGUAGCCCGGUCCCUGUCCCUACA
This 62-nucleotide microRNA precursor is filed under the name Mus pahari (shrew mouse). Its description in RNAcentral is "microRNA 7665 (MGP_PahariEiJ_G0007356.1)". The record is from RNAcentral. Lineage: Eukaryota; Metazoa; Chordata; Mammalia; Rodentia; Muridae.